GACGAACGCUGGCGGCGUGCUUAACACAUGCAAGUCGAACGGAAAGGCCCUGCUUUUGUGGGGUGCUCGAGUGGCGAACGGGGGAGUAACACGUGAGUAACCUGCCCUUGACUUUGGGAUAACUUCAGGAAACUGGGGCUAAUACCGGAUAGGAGCUCCUGCUGCAUGGGGGGGGUUGGAAAGUUUCGGCGGUUGGGGAUGGACUCGGGGCUUUUCAGCUUGUUGGUGGGGUAGUGGCUUACCAAGGCUUUGACGGGUAGCCGGCCUGAGAGGGUGACCGGCCACAUUGGGACUGAGAUACGGCCCAGACUCCUACGGGAGGCAGCAGUGGGGAAUAUUGCACAAUGGGCGGAAGCCUGAUGCAGCAACGCCGCGUGCGGGAUGACGGCCUUCGGGUUGUAAACCGCUUUCGCCUGUGACGAAGCGUGAGUGACGGUAAUGGGUAAAGAAGCACCGGCUAACUACGUG
RNAcentral lists this ribosomal RNA (468 nucleotides) under uncultured bacterium. RNAcentral's name for it is "partial 16S ribosomal RNA". It matches the Rfam family "Bacterial small subunit ribosomal RNA", at positions 28 to 507 of the family's 1533-position model. The record is from RNAcentral.